GACGAACGCUGGCGGCGUGCUUAACACAUGCAAGUCGAACGGAAAGGCCCUGCUCUUGCUGGGUUCACGUUUGCCGAACACGUGUGUAACACGUGUGUAACCCGUCCCUGUCUUUGGGAUAACUUCUGGAAACUGCGGCUCUUACAGGAUAUGAUCUCUUGCUGCGUGUUGGGGGUUGGUAAGUGUCGGCGGUUGGGGAUGGACUCGCGGGUUAUGAGCUUGUUUGUGGGGUAGUGGCUGACCAAGGUUUUGACGGCUAGCCGGCCUAGGAGGGUGACCGGCGACAUUGGGACUAAGAUACGGACCAGAAUCCUACGGGAGGCAGCAGUGGGGAAUAUUGCAGAGUGGGCGGAAGCGUGAUGCAGCAACGUCGCGUGCGGGAUGACGGCCUUCGGGUUGUAAACAGCUUUGGCCGGUGACGAAGCGGGAGUGACGGUAAUGGGUAAAGAAGCAACGGCUAACUACGUG
Molecule: ribosomal RNA, 468 nt
Filed under: uncultured bacterium
Lineage: Bacteria
Description: partial 16S ribosomal RNA
Rfam family: Bacterial small subunit ribosomal RNA
Source: RNAcentral